UCUAAACCCAUUGAACAUAAUGAUCCAACGCCAUCUCCCAAUCUUGAAUUCCUUGUAUUUGAGGCAGAGGAAGAUGAUGUUGAAGGGGAUUCCUGAUGAGAUUACCCGUCGCCUUGAGCAUGAAAAGGAGCUCAUUCAGCUGUAUCAUGAGAAUCAGCAAAACAGUCAAACUGGGGCAUUACAAAUGUAAUGUAAAAAAUAAAAAAUAAAUAAAAAAAAAAAGGAGAAAGAAGAGGAAAAAAAUAAGAAAAAUCAAAAAUCAGGAAAAUUUUUUCAAAUUUUUUUCAAAAGAAAAAAGAAAAAAAGUAUACCCUCAAAGUCCCUAGUUGACUGAUGCUGAAUGGAUUCAGAGUCGUUAUGACCAACUGAAUUUGAUCGAAG
This 381-nucleotide long non-coding RNA is filed under the name Lathyrus oleraceus (garden pea). RNAcentral's name for it is "Pisum sativum (pea) long non-coding RNA (PSAT_LNC008947)". The record is from RNAcentral. Lineage: Eukaryota; Viridiplantae; Streptophyta; Magnoliopsida; Fabales; Fabaceae.